CCUACGGGAGGCAGCAGUGAGGAAUAUUGGUCAAUGGCCGAGAGGCUGAACCAGCCAAGUCGCGUGAGGGAAGACGGCCCUACGGGUUGUAAACCUCUUUUGUCGGGGAGCAAAGAGAGUCACGUGUGACUCAUUGAGAGUACCCGAAGAAAAAGCAUCGGCUAACUCCGUGCCAGCAGCCGCGGUAAUACGGAGGAUGCGAGCGUUAUCCGGAUUUAUUGGGGUAAAAGGGUGCGCAGGCGGAGGUGCAAGUCAGCGGUCAAAUUGCGGGGCUCAACCCCGUACUGCCGUUGAAACUGCAGCCCUUGAGUGCGCGAGAAGUAUGCGGAAUGCGUGGUGUAGCGGUGAAAUGCAUAGAUAUCACGCAGAACUCCGAUUGCGAAGGCAGCAUACCGGCGCGCAACUGACGCUCAUGCACGAAAGCGUGGGUAUCGAACAGGAUUAGAUACCCCAGUAGUC
RNAcentral lists this ribosomal RNA (459 nucleotides) under uncultured bacterium. RNAcentral's name for it is "partial 16S ribosomal RNA". It matches the Rfam family "Bacterial small subunit ribosomal RNA", at positions 338 to 795 of the family's 1533-position model. The record is from RNAcentral.